This 563-nucleotide ribosomal RNA is filed under the name Streptomyces sp. 340F12. Its description in RNAcentral is "bacterial SSU rRNA". It matches the Rfam family "Bacterial small subunit ribosomal RNA", at positions 93 to 670 of the family's 1533-position model. Lineage: Bacteria; Bacillati; Actinomycetota; Actinomycetes; Kitasatosporales; Streptomycetaceae. The record is from RNAcentral.
UAGUGGCGAACGGGUGAGUAACACGUGGGCAAUCUGCCCUUCACUNUGGGACAAGCCCUGGAAACGGGGUCUAAUACCGGAUAACACUUCCUGCCGCAUGGUGGGGGGUUAAAAGCUCCGGCGGUGAAGGAUGAGCCCGCGGCCUAUCAGCUUGUUGGUGGGGUGAUGGCCUACCAAGGCGACGACGGGUAGCCGGCCUGAGAGGGCGACCGGCCACACUGGGACUGAGACACGGCCCAGACUCCUACGGGAGGCAGCAGUGGGGAAUAUUGCACAAUGGGCGAAAGCCUGAUGCAGCGACGCCGCGUGAGGGAUGACGGCCUUCGGGUUGUAAACCUCUUUCAGCAGGGAAGAAGCGAAAGUGACGGUACCUGCAGAAGAAGCGCCGGCUAACUACGUGCCAGCAGCCGCGGUAAUACGUAGGGCGCAAGCGUUGUCCGGAAUUAUUGGGCGUAAAGAGCUCGUAGGCGGCUUGUCACGUCGGAUGUGAAAGCCCGGGGCUUAACCCCGGGUCUGCAUUCGAUACGGGCUAGCUAGAGUGUGGUAGGGGAGAUCGGAUUNCU